RNAcentral lists this ribosomal RNA (397 nucleotides) under uncultured bacterium. Its description in RNAcentral is "bacterial SSU rRNA". It matches the Rfam family "Bacterial small subunit ribosomal RNA", at positions 29 to 432 of the family's 1533-position model. The record is from RNAcentral.
AUUGAACGCUGGCGGCAUGCUUUACACAUGCAAGUCGAACGGUAACAGGCCUUCGGGUGCUGACGAGUGGCGAACGGGUGAGUAAUGCAUCGGAACGUGCCCAAUCGUGGGGGAUAACGUAGCGAAAGUUACGCUAAUACCGCAUAAGCCCUGAGGGGGAAAGCAGGGGAUCGCAAGACCUUGCGCGAAUGGAGCGGCCGAUGUCAGAUUAGCUAGUUGGUGGGGUAAAGGCCUACCAAGGCAACGAUCUGUAGCGGGUCUGAGAGGAUGAUCCGCCACACUGGGACUGAGACACGGCCCAGACUCCUACGGGAGGCAGCAGUGGGGAAUUUUGGACAAUGGGCGCAAGCCUGAUCCAGCCAUGCCGCGUGCGGGACGAAGGCCUCGGUUGUAACCG